UGAAAGAGUACAGUAAGCAGGGUGUC
RNAcentral lists this non-coding RNA (26 nucleotides) under Mus musculus (house mouse). The record is from RNAcentral. Lineage: Eukaryota; Metazoa; Chordata; Mammalia; Rodentia; Muridae.